GAUGAACGCUGGCGGCGUGCCUAAUACAUGCAAGUCGAGCGAACGGACGAGAAGCUUGCUUUUCUGAUGUUAGCGGCGGACGGGUGAGUAACACGUGGAUAACCUACCUAUAAGACUGGGAUAACUUCGGGAAACCGGAGCUAAUACCGGAUAAUAUUUUGAACCGCAUGGUUCAAAAGUGAAAGACGGUCUUGCUGUCACUUAUAGAUGGAUCCGCGCUGCAUUAGCUAGUUGGUAAGGUAACGGCUUACCAAGGCAACGAUGCAUAGCCGACCUGAGAGGGUGAUCGGCGACACUGGAACGGAGACACGGACCAGACUCCUACGGGAGGAAGCAGUAGGGAAGAUUCCGCAAUGGGCGAAAGCAUGACGGAGCAACGCCGCGUGAGUGAUGAAGGUCUUCGGAUAGUAAAACUCUGUUAUUAGGGAAGAACAUAUGUGUAAGUAACUGUGCACAUAUUGACGGUACCUAAUCAGAAAGCCACGGCUAACUACGUG
RNAcentral lists this ribosomal RNA (497 nucleotides) under uncultured bacterium. RNAcentral's name for it is "partial 16S ribosomal RNA". It matches the Rfam family "Bacterial small subunit ribosomal RNA", at positions 28 to 507 of the family's 1533-position model. The record is from RNAcentral.